Molecule: long non-coding RNA, 941 nt
Organism: Salvia miltiorrhiza (redroot sage)
Lineage: Eukaryota; Viridiplantae; Streptophyta; Magnoliopsida; Lamiales; Lamiaceae
Exons: 3
Source: RefSeq, a predicted model, not a curated record
AAUAAAAAGUAGCCUAGUAGAUAAAACGGGCCGGGCCCAAAAAUGAUUCCAUCAAAAAUUCAAUCUCGCUUCUCCCCCAAUUUCUUCUCCUCCAAGAAUUUCUCCUUCGUCCAAAACCCUUGAAAUCGAAUUGGUUCUGAUAAUCACGUCACGAGUCAAUCUUUUUGUGAUCACGAAUUAAUCGUAUCGGAAAGAAAUAUGGCGUUGACGAAUUUCAUACUGACUGUGGCCGGAGUGAGCGCCGUCGUGUUGCUGCUGCGGAGUGAUGUGAAGCAAUCCGCCACCAUCUUCCGCCGCAACGUCCGCCAAAUCCGCAACUGGCUCGAGGAGGAAUCCGCCUCCGCCGCUAAGGAGAUAGAGAAGAAGGCGAAACCCAAGGAAAUUUCAGACAAGGAUACCCCCAAGAAAGACUAAGCACUAGGUUCAAUGUAUGCUAGUGAAGGCAUGUGGUUGAUUCUUAUUUUAUUUUAUAUUUCGUUGUAGUUUCAUGUGAAAUUUUGAUAAAUCUUAUGUAGUUUGAUGUGAAAUCUCAAUAAAUCUUAUGUAGUUUGGUGUGAAAUCUCAAUAAAUCUUUAUGCAGGUCUCCAAAAUGAAUAUGAUCUGUUUAAAAGAAACCUUUGAUCUGGUUCUUGCAUACUGUUGCUUAAUAUUUUUUUUUCCUGAGAAUCUCUGGCAGGGGAAGUGGAGAUUUGGUGUUGAGAAAUGCAAUCUUGUAACUAGUACCUCUUUUUUCCAAGUUGGUUGAGUUUUGGUGUUUUAAAAUUAGAUUUGCUGAUGGACUAUGACUUCAUUCAUGGAACUACCAGAAUAUAAGUUUUUGUUAUGUAAUUGAAGGUCUGGUGGGGCAGCAAACAGUUCAUCAUAUUCUCUCUGUCCAUCAAAAUAAUGGUGUAAUUUGGAAAAUACAGGUUUUAAUAAAUAAUUGUGAAAAUGUGUAUGAA